This 431-nucleotide ribosomal RNA is filed under the name uncultured bacterium. RNAcentral's name for it is "bacterial SSU rRNA". It matches the Rfam family "Bacterial small subunit ribosomal RNA", at positions 42 to 467 of the family's 1533-position model. The record is from RNAcentral.
UCAGGCCUAACACAUGCAAGUCGAGCGGCAGCGGGAAAGUAGCUUGCUACUUUUGCCGGCGAGCGGCGGACGGGUGAGUAAUGCCUGGGAAAUUGCCCAGUCGAGGGGGAUAACAGUUGGAAACGACUGCUAAUACCGCAUACGCCCUACGGGGGAAAGCAGGGGACCUUCGGGCCUUGCGCGAUUGGAUAUGCCCAGGUGGGAUUAGCUAGUUGGUGAGGUAAUGGCUCACCAAGGCGACGAUCCCUAGCUGGUCUGAGAGGAUGAUCAGCCACACUGGAACUGAGACACGGUCCAGACUCCUACGGGAGGCAGCAGUGGGGAAUAUUGCACAAUGGGGGAAACCCUGAUGCAGCCAAGCCGCGUGUGUGAAGAAGGCCUUCGGGUUGAAAGCUCAUGAGCGAGGAGGAAAGGUCAGUAGCUAAUAUCUG